UACGUAGGGUGCAAGCGUUGUCCGGAAUUAUUGGGCGUAAAGAGCUCGUAGGCGGUCUGUUGCGUCGGCUGUGAAAACCCGGGGCUCAACCCCGGGCCUGCAGUGGGUACGGGCAGACUAGAGUGCGGUAGGGGAGACUGGAAUUCCUGGUGUAGCGGUGAAAUGCGCAGAUAUCAGGAGGAACACCGGUGGCGAAGGCGGGUCUCUGGGCCGUAACUGACGCUGAGGAGCGAAAGCAUGGGGAGCGAACAGG
RNAcentral lists this ribosomal RNA (253 nucleotides) under uncultured bacterium. RNAcentral's name for it is "partial 16S ribosomal RNA". It matches the Rfam family "Bacterial small subunit ribosomal RNA", at positions 524 to 776 of the family's 1533-position model. The record is from RNAcentral.